AUUGAAUUAGUGUGUAAAUGUUUGAGAUGACAGCUACAAUAUAAGAAUUUUAAUUUGAGGAAUUUCGGUUUAUCCGUAACUACUUGAAUUAACUCGCAUUAAAAGUGUCAACUUCCUUAUUUACUUUUAUGUAAAAGGAAGGGGACAUAAACAUUAACAGUAAAGUACCAGUACCUUACAUUCCGCAUAUCAAUAUGACAAAUUUUCGGGUGUGUGACCCAAUACAUAUAUCUUGUGGUUAUGUAAAAACUAGAUUUAACGGUCAACAUGAACAAUUCAGGCUAGGAAACGUACUGUUACUGGAAACAAGACACACUUCUAAAAGACUUGGGAAUGAAGAAAGUUCUUCAGAGAUUUCUAAAGCAAAUUUAAAAACACCAUCAAUUAUAUGAAAAGGGAAAGAAAAUGUGAAGCUCUAUCAAAAAAAUGCUUUCAGUCAAUGUCAAGUUUAGAAAAGAAAACCAUUUGUGAUGAGAAACAUUAUCAGGGAUGUAUAUCCAAAAUGGUUAGUAGAUGUUGAAAAACCACAGGCUGAUGCUGAUCUGACCAUUGGUAGGCAGACAAUCACAGAUAAUUAUGCAAAAACAGCACUGAUGCCAAGGCUGUGAAAAAGAUGACUGAGGGGUUACUUUAUAAGGGGAAGCAUUCACUAAAAUAUCUAAUUUACAACUAUAAGAUAAAAUACUGAAGGAAAAGACACCCAUGUGACCACAUGUAGAGAGAUAUUGGUUUAAAUCCAAAUAUUAUUUAAUAACAUUAAGUCAUCAAAAUUGGACUUGGCAUUAUGUUUCCACAAUAAAGUAGAAUAUAGAAAUUAUAUUCAGGAAUGAAAACUUACUGUUAAAAAAAAAUCAUGAAUUUUAAUAGAACAAGGUUUAAAUGUGUGUUAUGAAAGAAUACAUUUUUGAUGUAAUUUUAUGUAUAAAUAGUGUUUCAUAUUUAAUCACAUAAUUUUUUUAAUAUAUUUUUCUCUUUCAAUUGUAACAUUGAUAAAAAUGUUGAAAUAGGAGGCAAUAUUGGUUAGAU
Molecule: long non-coding RNA, 1026 nt
Organism: Danaus plexippus (monarch butterfly)
Lineage: Eukaryota; Metazoa; Arthropoda; Insecta; Lepidoptera; Nymphalidae
Exons: 3
Source: RefSeq, a predicted model, not a curated record